RNAcentral lists this ribosomal RNA (781 nucleotides) under uncultured bacterium. RNAcentral's name for it is "bacterial SSU rRNA". It matches the Rfam family "Bacterial small subunit ribosomal RNA", at positions 1 to 815 of the family's 1533-position model. The record is from RNAcentral.
CCCUUAGAGUUUGAUCCUGGCUCAGAACGAACGUUGGCGGCGUGGAUUAGGCAUGCAAGUCGGGGGAAUCCCAGCAAUGGGGGAACCGGCGUAAGGGGCAGUAAGGCGUGGGUACCUACCCCGGGGUUCGGGAUAGCUGUCCGAGAGGGCAGGUAAUACCGGAUGACCUGGUGACAGCAAAGAUUGAUCGCCCUGGGAGGGGCCCACGUGAUAUUACCUAGUUGGCGGGGUAACGGCCCACCAAGGGGAAGAUGUCUAGCGGGUGUGAGAGCACGACCCGCGCCACUGGCACUGAGACACUGGCCAGACACCUACGGGUGGCUGCAGUCGAGGAUCUUCGGCAAUGGGCGCAAGCCUGACCGAGCGACGCCGCGUGCGCGAUGAAGGCCUUCGGGUUGUAAAGCGCUGUCGGGGGGGAGAAAAGCCCGCAAGGGUGUGAUCUAUCCCCGGAGGAAGCACGGGCUAAGUUCGUGCCAGCAGCCGCGGUAAGACGAACCGUGCGAACGUUGUUCGGAAUCACUGGGCUUAAAGGGCGCGUAGGCGGGCCUCCAAGUCCGGGGUGAAAUCCUCCAGCCUAACUGGAGAAGAGCCUCGGAGACUGGGGGCCUCGAGGAGGGUAGGGGCAAGCGGAACUAUGGGUGGAGCGGUGAAAUGCAUUGAUAUCCAUAGGAACUCCGGUGGCGAAGGCGGCUUGCUGGACCCUUUCUGACGCUGAGGCGCGAAAGCCAGGGGAGCAAACGGGAUUAGAUACCCCGGUAGUCCUGGCCCUAAACGUUGGGGA